This is an RNA transcript of Hevea brasiliensis (rubber tree), 1443 nucleotides long. It is a transcript of the gene named phosphoglycerate kinase, cytosolic-like, with no coding region annotated. The record is from RefSeq and is a predicted model, not a curated record. The transcript has 3 exons. Lineage: Eukaryota; Viridiplantae; Streptophyta; Magnoliopsida; Malpighiales; Euphorbiaceae.
UGCAGACAUCUCUAGCCCAGUGUGUACCCCGCCCCAAGAAAAACCACAAUCCCCUUCGCCUUUGAAGCCUCCAAGGCCCCAGACCGAACAAAUCCACCUAAUCUUCCUCUCUCUCUCUCUCUUUCUAAAGCCUUCUUUAUUUUCUUGCUUUGUCUUUUCUUCAUUUCACCCAGAAAGCUCUGGUCUUGAUCUUUACUUGUUUCUCGUUGUGUGUUGAGAUAUGGCUACAAAGAAGAGCGUUAGCAGUCUAAAUGACGCAGAUUUGAAGGGGAAGGGGGUGUUUGUGAGAGUGGAUCUCAACGUCCCUUUGGAUGAUAACUUCAAUAUCACUGAUGAUACCAGGAUCCGAGCUGCCGUUCCCACCAUCAAGUACUUGAUGGAUCAUGGCUCCAAAGUUAUUCUUUGCACCCAUUUGUUUUUGCUGGUGCAAAAUGUGGCUUUGAAAAUGGAUUUGUGCCAUGAUAUCUGUCAUAUAUUCAUAUUUGAUAUCUGGGAGAGGACACCUACAUUCAUACACAUGGUGUAUUUUCUUUGGUGUAAUUGUGGUAGUAAUUGGAUGGCAUUAAUCUGCUUAGUCAAUUAAUCAAGUAGAAGGAUCAGUUUGAAGGACUAAAAACAAAAAUCCUAAGUGUUUUUAGUACUGAAGAAAGGUGGGCAUCACAAAAUUUAUUUAUCUAAGCAUUUUUAAGUUUCUUUGUUGCUAUUGUUUCUUUUGAUGGCUUCAUUUGUCUAAAUGUGGAUAAGGCAGUGCUUAGCUAUCUGGGCCUUCCCAAUGAAAGCUCUUCUUGGACUUGUAAUAGUAGAAUUAUCAGUUCCUUUUGUCGGUUGUAAUAUGCAUCAUCUUUUUGUCUUUUUCUGCCAUGAGGAAAAUUUCCUCGUCUUCUAGGUUAUGUUAAUCUUGUUUUUUUCUAGGUUAUGUUAUUCUUGUUUUUUUUUUUUUUUAUUUUUUUUAUCAUUGUUAUGACUAUUGAUUGAAUUUACGUGAUCAAAAUUCAUGGAAUUGGUAAAUUAAGGUUAUAUUUUCCUUUGCUCAACCUCUAUUGGGGUGUAUAGUGUGAUAUUCCUUCUUCUCUUCUCCAUCGUUGUGAGACUGUAGUCCAUCUAGAUAUAUCAUACAUUUUUGUCAUAGACAUCAUUAAAUGAAAAGAUCAUGCCUGACCUCUGCAAUCCAUUUUGAUGGAAUAUUCAGUUUCUUUUUGAAAAUUGAGUUUUAACUUUCUUUGGCAAGAAUAUGAAUAUUUGUUAUAAAAAAAAAAUCCAGACUGGAGGUGUGCUACCUUAUGCUUGAAGUAAUGUUGCCAAGACGUAUGAGGUGAUAUGGGAUGCAUUAAAUUAUUCAAAAAUAAUUGGAAUUGAUAAAAGAUAUUCAUUUAUGUGGAAUAUUUGUUAUUAUUUUGAAAGUUGAACUAAAACCUGUUAUUUAAAAGGGUUAAGAUUUGAAGA